AACGAACGCUGGCGGCAUGCCUAACACAUGCAAGUCGAACGAGACCUUCGGGUCUAGUGGCGCACGGGCGCGUAACGCGUGGGAACCUGCCCUUAGGUUCGGAAUAACUCCCCGAAAGGGGUGCUAAUACCGGAUAAUGUCUUCGGACCAAAGAUUUAUCGCCUUUGGAUGGGCCCGCGUUGGAUUAGCUAGUUGGUAGGGUAAAAGCCUACCAAGGCGACGAUCCAUAGCUGGUCUGAGAGGAUGAUCAGCCACACUGGGACUGAGACACGGCCCAGACUCCUACGGGAGGCAGCAGUGGGGAAUAUUGGACAAUGGGCGAAAGCCUGAUCCAGCCAUGCCGCGUGAGUGAUGAAGGCCUUAGGGUUGUAAAGCUCUUUUACCCGGGAUGAUAAUGACAGUACCGGGAGAAUAAGCUCCGGCUAACUCCGUG
This 433-nucleotide ribosomal RNA is filed under the name uncultured bacterium. RNAcentral describes it as "partial 16S ribosomal RNA". It matches the Rfam family "Bacterial small subunit ribosomal RNA", at positions 29 to 507 of the family's 1533-position model. The record is from RNAcentral.